UACGGAGGGUGCAAACGGUGCGCGGAAUCACUGGGCGUAAAGCGCACGUAGGCGGCUCGAAAAGUCGGAUGUGAAAGCCCUGGGCUCAACCUAGGAAGUGCAUUCGAAACUGCCGAGCUUGAGUACGGGAGAGGGUUGCGGAAUUCCCGGUGUAGAGGUGAAAUUCGUAGAUAUCGGGAGGAACACCAGUGGCGAAGGCGGCAGCAUGGACCGAUACUGACGCUGAGGUGCGAAAGCGUGGGGAGCAAACAGG
Molecule: ribosomal RNA, 253 nt
Filed under: uncultured bacterium
Lineage: Bacteria
Description: partial 16S ribosomal RNA
Rfam family: Bacterial small subunit ribosomal RNA
Source: RNAcentral